UGGGGAAUUUUGGACAAUGGGCGCAAGCCUGAUCCAGCCAUGCCGCGUGCGGGAAGAAGGCCUUCGGGUUGUAAACCGCUUUUGUCAGGGAAGAAAUCUUCUGAGUUAAUACCUCGGGAGGAUGACGGUACCUGAAGAAUAAGCACCGGCUAACUACGUGCCAGCAGCCGCGGUAAAUACGUAGGGUGCAGGCGUUAAUCGGAAUUACUGGGCGUAAAGCGUGCGCAGGCGGUUUUGUAAGACAGAGGUGAAAUCCCCGGGCUCAACCUGGGAACUGCCUUUGUGACUGCAAGGCUUGAGUGCGGCAGAGGGGGAUGGAAUUCCGCGUGUAGCAGUGAAAUGCGUAGAUAUGCGGAGGAAACACCGAUGGCGAAGGCAAUCCCCUGGGCCUGCACUGACGCUCAUGCACGAAAGCGUGGGGAGCAAACAGGAUUAGAUACCCUGGUAGUCACGCCCUAAAACGAUGUCAAACUGGUUGUUGGGAAGGUUCCUUCUCAGUAACGUAGCUAACGCGUGAAAGUUGACCGCCUGGGGAGUACGGCCGC
This 545-nucleotide ribosomal RNA is filed under the name uncultured bacterium. RNAcentral's name for it is "partial 16S ribosomal RNA". It matches the Rfam family "Bacterial small subunit ribosomal RNA", at positions 355 to 889 of the family's 1533-position model. The record is from RNAcentral.